Molecule: ribosomal RNA, 542 nt
Filed under: Microbacterium oxydans
Lineage: Bacteria; Bacillati; Actinomycetota; Actinomycetes; Micrococcales; Microbacteriaceae
Description: bacterial SSU rRNA
Rfam family: Bacterial small subunit ribosomal RNA
Source: RNAcentral
AGCUUGCUCUGUGGGAUCAGUGGCGAACGGGUGAGUAACACGUGAGCAACCUGCCCCUGACUCUGGGAUAAGCGCUGGAAACGGCGUCUAAUACUGGAUAUGUGACGUGACCGCAUGGUCUGCGUCUGGAAAGAACUUCGGUUGGGGAUGGGCUCGCGGCCUAUCAGCUUGUUGGUGAGGUAAUGGCUCACCAAGGCGUCGACGGGUAGCCGGCCUGAGAGGGUGACCGGCCACACUGGGACUGAGACACGGCCCAGACUCCUACGGGAGGCAGCAGUGGGGAAUAUUGCACAAUGGGCGCAAGCCUGAUGCAGCAACGCCGCGUGAGGGACGACGGCCUUCGGGUUGUAAACCUCUUUUAGCAGGGAAGAAGCGAAAGUGACGGUACCUGCAGAAAAAGCGCCGGCUAACUACGUGCCAGCAGCCGCGGUAAUACGUAGGGCGCAAGCGUUAUCCGGAAUUAUUGGGCGUAAAGAGCUCGUAGGCGGUUUGUCGCGUCUGCUGUGAAAUCCGGAGGCUCAACCUCCGGCCUGCAGUGGGUA